GAUGAAGAACGUAGCGAAAUGCGAUAAGUAAUGUGAAUUGCAGAAUUCAGUGAAUCAUCGAAUCUUUGAACGCACAUUGCGCCCCUUGGUAUUCCGAGGGGCAUGCCUGUUCGAGCGUCAUUAUAACCCCUCAAGCUCAGCUUGGUGUUGGGGCCUGCUGCACUGGCAGCCCUUAAAAUCAGUGGCGGCGCCAUCUGGCUCUAAGCGUAGUAAUUCUUCUCGCUAUGGAGUCCUGGUGGAAGCUUGCCAUCAACCCCCAAUUUUUCUAUGGUUGACCUCGGAUCAGGUAGGGAUACCCGCUGAACUUAAGCAUAUCAAUAAGCGGAGGA
Molecule: unclassified non-coding RNA, 329 nt
Filed under: soil metagenome
Description: partial contains 5.8S ribosomal RNA, internal transcribed spacer 2, and large subunit ribosomal RNA
Rfam family: 5.8S ribosomal RNA (bases 1-120)
Source: RNAcentral